This is a long non-coding RNA of Triticum dicoccoides, 952 nucleotides long. RefSeq lists it as uncharacterized. Lineage: Eukaryota; Viridiplantae; Streptophyta; Magnoliopsida; Poales; Poaceae. The transcript has 4 exons. The record is from RefSeq and is a predicted model, not a curated record.
CCAGCCGCCGGCGCCGGUACUGCUCUCUCCGGCCUGUCCCUCGGCUAGACACCGUCAUGCUGGAUGCUCGCUGUCCAUUCUUCUGGUCAAUCGUCACCAUGCCCGACGCUCUCUCGGCGAGCCGCCGCCACCGCGACCGACGUUCCGCCACCUACUACUGCCGCCACGACCGACGAUCUCCCCUGCAUGAAUUCUCUUGCCGCUACCGCUCUAUGGCCGCCACUACCCUUCCAGCUCCACGACGUAUGCUAUUCCGGCCACAAAUGCACAUGAAACAGCCUCACGCACCACCUAAUUCACCUAACCUCAUUACAUCACCCUUCAUUAACCUGCAAAUGCGGAAGAAAGUGGAUUUAAAUACCCCUGCUAUGUAGUGUCAUUGUCAUCCAUCACACACGACUUCUUGCGUCCCAUCGCAAGAGGCCUCCGGCCCGGUAGCUGCACAGUUCCUAUUUCCAAAUGCCUAUGAUUUUUCCAAUCCUGAAGCUUAUGCCUUUUUAUCUUUUCAGGUGGCGCUUCAGAUCAAAGCAAAUUCUCCUCGAGACGCACUCUGAUUUCUCUCCCUUGCACUACAGCUUAGCUUAUCUUUUCAAUCACGGGUCAACAACAGGUACAAAUGGACAACCAAAGUAGCAGGAUGUCACCUAAUUCCGCAAACAAUAAUUUUCCAUGUUCUACCCUCAUUUCAAUAAGAGAAGCUCAAAAGAAAUACAGAUGCAAUUGCAAAGAGGAAGAGCACAAAAGACCUGGAGUUUAUAACUGUCUGGUGAUGGACAUGAAUUUUUAGGACAUGAUGGCACGCGAUGCCGUAAUCCUGGGCGUCCGCAUGCGCAUCAGGAUUACUAAUUAAUAUAGGGCCUUUUGCAAUACGAUGGUAGUAACUCAAUGAUACAUAGAAAUAUACAGCCAUGGGUGGGCAAUGACGCUUUAAAUUCGUAUGGUACAACAUUGC